AUUAUUUUCUAUAAGAAAUUUCAUCAUUUUUUUCUUAAAAGUAAAUAAGCUACCCGAGUUUCUUAUAUCAGACGAUAGUGAAUUCCAUAUUAUAGGGCCACGAUAAAGUAUAGUAAUUUUUUUUAGAUUCGUACGACAAGCGUGAGGCCGAUAAUUAUUUGCUGAUCUGGUAUUGUAACUAUGUAUCUGACUGUUACAUUGGAACAGAUCAUGGAAUACAGGUGGUAAAAUUUCAUUAUGAUAACAAAACAUGAAUCUGGCAAUGUACAGUGAAUUAACUGGAAAAUGUUUAAUAAAAUGCCUAAUUUCAUAAAUAGAGGUGCUGUAUGCGCACGGAAAUCAGAAUUUGUAAUAUAUUCUAUUCAAUUUUGUAACAUAGGUGGACGACCAUACCAUGUUGCAAUAUGUAAUGAAGGGAUAAACCAGUGUGUAAUACAAUGACAAUUUAGUUUUACAAGAUAAAUAAAAACG
Molecule: non-coding RNA, 471 nt
Organism: Paramuricea clavata
Lineage: Eukaryota; Metazoa; Cnidaria; Anthozoa; Malacalcyonacea; Plexauridae
Source: the annotation of a GenBank genome assembly